RNAcentral lists this ribosomal RNA (435 nucleotides) under uncultured bacterium. Its description in RNAcentral is "partial 16S ribosomal RNA". It matches the Rfam family "Bacterial small subunit ribosomal RNA", at positions 28 to 507 of the family's 1533-position model. The record is from RNAcentral.
GAUGAACGCUGGCGGUAUGCUUAACACAUGCAAGUCGAACGGACUAUGCGGAGUUAGUGGUGGAAGGGUGAGGAACGCGGGAGAAGCUGGCUUUGGGUACGGGACAACCACUGGAAAAGGUGGCGAAGACAGGGGGUGCCGAGAGGGAAAAGGGAAAUGUCCUGAAGAUGCGCUCGCGGGUGAGUAGCUAGUUGGUGAGGUCAACGCUCCCCAAGGCAGCGAUUAGUAGCUGGUCUGAGAGGAUCACCAGCCACACUGAGACUGAGACGCCGCCCAGACUCCUACGGGACACAGCAGUGGAGAAUUUUCCGCAAUGGGCGAGCGUCUGACGGAGCCAUACCGCGUGAGAUAACAAGGCUCUUGUGGUGUACCCCUCUUUUCUUAGAAAAAGCCAAAGUGACGGUACCUACAGAAUCAGCAUCGGCUAACUCCGUG